AUAAUGAUACUUCUGUACGCAGCCGCCGGAGUACCCGGCAAGGGGUGAGACGCCCAUGG
Molecule: non-coding RNA, 59 nt
Filed under: unclassified sequences
Description: pemK RNA
Rfam family: pemK RNA
Source: RNAcentral